UAAUUUAUACCUUACAAAAAAAGUGGGAAUAUAAGAAACUUCACCUGCACUGUCCAGUACCCAGGUAUUUAUUUCACAGUCACUCUGGUGGAAUUUUUGGCUAAAAAGUUACUGAAUCAAUUUAAAGUUACUGAAUCGUUUCGGAUCGUAUCCUUCUAAAUGAACCAAUAUCGUCCUUGAAUCCUAUCGCAACCACGAAUCAUGAUACAAAUCAAAUCGUUAUUAAAAUGAAUCGUUACACCCCUAAUAUGAAUAGAUAACAUUGCUUGCUUUUCCUGGUCAUGUCAUGUUUGUUGCUAGGCAUAAUUUCUGGGUCUGACACAGUACUUUGUGCCACCAGCAAGCACAAUUUAAAAAAAAUAAUAAUCCAGUCAAGCUCAAUACGCUGACUAUCAAUAUUUCUUGACAACUUGGUUGCAAAGGGCUUAACUGACAAUGGACAGGGAGCGUCGGCAGUACAAACUCAGACACACACUGAGGAAAUUACUAGCAUCAUCACAAUGUAUGCCCAUUAAUUUUACAAUGGAUUUAUAACUUCAGAUUUUCUUAAACCGCAGCGUCGUCUUCUAGCGACAAAUAACAGACUUCAGACUUCAUCCAAAUGAAUUGUGUAGUGUAGUGUGGUGUCAUGCGUACUUACAGCAUGUAGGUGAUGACACCGAGGCUCCACAUGUCUGUGUUAAACGACACAAAGUCGUAGUUGAUCACUUCAGGGGCCAGAAAUUCCGGUGUUCCAAAAUUGACUCGGAGCUUCUCCCUCGGUUUGUAUCUAGUCGAGAGCACAAUGAUUAGAUUAGAAUUGUCAUUUAUAAAUAUCAGCAAUAUUGCAGUGCUGAUAUAAACACUCACAUCCUGGCGAGGCCAAAGUCGAUGAUCUUGAUUUUAUUUGUGACUCUGCUUACACAUAGGAUGUUUUCCGGCUGCAAUUCAAGAAUGGCCACUUCAGAGUUUAAUUGAUGAUAAAAUACUGUGUGUGUGUGUGUGUGUGUGCGUGCAUUGUUUAAAUUACCUUUAAGUCCAAAUGUAGGAUGUACAUUUUGUGCAUGUGCUGCAGACCCUCACAGAUCUGCCUGAUGAACACCACAGCAUCCAGCUCCAUUAAAGUGUAGUUUUCAUCAAUGAUUCUGUUAAAAAGCUCGCCUCCACCAACACUGUAUGACAAACAAAGCAUCAAGAUCUUAGAGCACAGACUGCAAAAGAUGUGCAUUCAGGAUCAUUAAAAAAAAUAUAAUGAUAAUUUAUAUUAUAACAUUAGUAGUUAAUUUGGUCUCAAAAUAAUGUUGACAUAAUAUUGUUUAUAUAAUAAUUAGGGCUGUCAAAUUAUUACAAUUUUUAAAUAGGCGCAAAUGCGCCUUUGUGAAAAGUUAAGCGUGAAGCUACUUAAAAUGAAACAAAUUUACCAGAGCAGGUUUGAGAAGAGGAAACGGCGAGAGCACACCCAAAAAUAUAUUGCCUCAUUGUGUGACGGUACGGUGUCGGUAGAAAAAAUGUCAACGUGCCGGCGCCUAACUCCCGCAGACUGUGAGCCGAGUUCCAGUCUGCUACUGGAUGCUGAGUUUGAUGCUGCGACUGCGAUGACAUAAGUCAUCUUUGCAAACAAUUGAUUUCUCCCCAUUUCCAUGCCUUCCUCCUGACACUGUAUAUAGUUAUGACUGUUGGGAUAUAUUGCUUAGUAAUUGCUUUUGUUACAUUGUAAUUGUUCAUCUUCACCCUCAAUACAUACACAGUCUCAUUCUCUUUCUCUCCGAAACACACACACAUGAAUGCACACAUCUGUUGUGAUGAUGUCUGGGUUGUUUUUGUUCAAAAAUAAAUUCACCCCGUGUUAAUUUAUUGCAGGGGUGGCCAUUACGUCGAUUGCGAGCUACCGGUAGAUCGCCAAGGCAGUUUGGGUUGAUCGCGUAAACGUCACUUUGUAGUUGUCAUAUGACAUCAGUCAGCUGACAUUAAGCUCCCCUCCUGAUUCGCGCUUGCUCCCCCGCAGCGUUUCAAGCUACACACGAAGAUGCAACUUUCAUCUUUAUUAUUGUGAUUAUGGAUGAACUAACUCAGCGCUUCCUCCACCACCACGAGUUCCUCAGCGAUGCCGAGCUCCACUAUCUGGUCCAGAUCAGCUUCUGAAGAUGGCGAGGCCACUUCGCAGUUGCCACUAUCACUAAAAAAUGAAGCUCUGAACUCUCUGUUGCAUCUUCAGUUGUGGACUCCUCCUCUUCUACCUGGUGGACUUCUUCCUCUACAUCUUCAACAUCAAGUGUGAGCUCUUCCUCAGCAACAUCUCCAUCAGGAACCUUGUCCCCAUCCUCUUCUGCACCAUCCGCCUCCUGUUGG
This is a long non-coding RNA of Dunckerocampus dactyliophorus (ringed pipefish), 2328 nucleotides long. RefSeq lists it as uncharacterized. The record is from RefSeq and is a predicted model, not a curated record. The transcript has 3 exons. NCBI's taxonomy places the organism in Eukaryota, Metazoa, Chordata, Actinopteri, Syngnathiformes, Syngnathidae.